Molecule: ribosomal RNA, 305 nt
Filed under: uncultured bacterium
Lineage: Bacteria
Description: bacterial SSU rRNA
Rfam family: Bacterial small subunit ribosomal RNA
Source: RNAcentral
ACCUACGGGGGGCAGCAGUGGGGAAUAUUGCACAAUGGGGGAAACCCUGAUGCAGCGACGCCGCGUGAGUGAAGAAGUAUUUCGGUAUGUAAAGCUCUAUCAGCAGGGAAGAAAUACUGACCUUACGGUCAGCAGACGGUACCUGACUAAGAAGCCCCGGCUAACUACGUGCCAGCAGCCGCGGUAAUACGUAGGGGGCAAGCGUUAUCCGGAUUUACUGGGUGUAAAGGGAGCGUAGACGGCAGCGCAAGUCUGAAGUGAAAUCCCAUGGCUUAACCAUGAAACUGCUUUGGAAACUGUGCAGC